GCCCCUGUGGCGGAAUUGGUAGACGCGGCGGAUUCAAAAUCCGUUUCCUGUGAAGGAGUGCCCGUUCGAGUCGGGCCAGGGGCACCA
This 87-nucleotide transfer RNA is filed under the name Pannonibacter sp. Its description in RNAcentral is "tRNA-Leu". It matches the Rfam family "tRNA". From Rfam's summary of the family: Transfer RNA (tRNA) molecules are approximately 80 nucleotides in length. Their secondary structure includes four short double-helical elements and three loops (D, anti-codon, and T loops). Further hydrogen bonds mediate the characteristic L-shaped molecular structure. tRNAs have two regions of fundamental functional importance: the anti-codon, which is responsible for specific mRNA codon recognition, and the 3' end, to which the tRNAs corresponding amino acid is attached (by aminoacyl-tRNA synthetases). tRNAs cope with the degeneracy of the genetic code in two manners: having more than one tRNA (with a specific anti-codon) for a particular amino acid; and 'wobble' base-pairing, i.e. permitting non-standard base-pairing at the 3rd anti-codon position. Lineage: Bacteria; Pseudomonadati; Pseudomonadota; Alphaproteobacteria; Hyphomicrobiales; Stappiaceae. RNAcentral also lists the same sequence under 2 other names. The record is from RNAcentral.